AGCUUUGCGCAGUGGCAGUAUCGUAGCCAAUGAGGUUUAUCUGAGGCACAAUUAUUGCUAAUUGAAAACUUUCCCCAAUACCCUGCCAUGACAACUUGCAACAUGCUCAGGAUUGGCAAUUUUUGAUAGUCCCUGUGGGA
Molecule: small nuclear RNA, 140 nt
Filed under: Microcebus murinus (gray mouse lemur)
Lineage: Eukaryota; Metazoa; Chordata; Mammalia; Primates; Cheirogaleidae
Description: U4 spliceosomal RNA (ENSMICG00000042404.1)
Rfam family: U4 spliceosomal RNA
About the family: U4 small nuclear RNA (U4 snRNA) is a component of the major U2-dependent spliceosome. The structure of U4 snRNA from yeast and human has been reported.
Source: Rfam by way of RNAcentral